UACGGGGGGGGCAAGCGUUGUUCGGAAUUACUGGGCGUAAAGGGCGCGUAGGCGGCCUUCUAAGUCGGACGUGAAAUCCCUCGGCUUAACCGGGGAACUGCAUCUGAUACUGGAUGGCUUGAGAUUGGGAGAGGGAUGCGGAAUUCCAGGUGUAGCGGUGAAAUGCGUAGAUAUCUGGAGGAACACCGGUGGCGAAGGCGGGUCUCUGGGCAACAACUGACGCUGAGGAGCGAAAGCGUGGGGAGCGAACAGG
Molecule: ribosomal RNA, 253 nt
Filed under: uncultured bacterium
Lineage: Bacteria
Description: partial 16S ribosomal RNA
Rfam family: Bacterial small subunit ribosomal RNA
Source: RNAcentral